Molecule: small RNA, 35 nt
Filed under: Arabidopsis thaliana (thale cress)
Lineage: Eukaryota; Viridiplantae; Streptophyta; Magnoliopsida; Brassicales; Brassicaceae
Description: ATSL237360
Source: RNAcentral
UCCAAGAUUUUGACCAAACCUGAUCAAGAACUGGC